AGGCCCCUGUAUUGAGAGUCGGAU
Molecule: microRNA, 24 nt
Filed under: Gossypium raimondii (Peruvian cotton)
Lineage: Eukaryota; Viridiplantae; Streptophyta; Magnoliopsida; Malvales; Malvaceae
Description: gra-miR8637
Source: miRBase by way of RNAcentral